Molecule: ribosomal RNA, 449 nt
Filed under: uncultured bacterium
Lineage: Bacteria
Description: partial 16S ribosomal RNA
Rfam family: Bacterial small subunit ribosomal RNA
Source: RNAcentral
AACGAACGCUGGCGGCAGGCCUAACACAUGCAAGUCGAACGCCGUAGCAAUACGGAGUGGCAGACGGGUGAGUAACGCGGGGGAACCUACCUUACGGUCGGGAAUAGCUCAGGGAAACUUGGGGUAAUACCGGAUACGCCCUUACGGGGAAAGAUUUAUGGCCGAUAGAUGGGCCCGCGUAGGACUCGCUAGUUGGAGAGGUAAUGGCCCACCAAGGCGACGACCCUUAGCUGGUCUGAGAGGAUGAUCAGCCACACUGGGACGGGGACACGGACCGGACUCCUACGUGAGGCAGCAGUGGGGAAUAUUGGAAAAUGGGCGCAAGCCUGAUCCAGCCAGGCCGCGUGAGUGACGAAGGCCUUAGGGUUGUAAAGCUCUUUUGGCGGGGAAGAUAAUGACGGUACCCGCAGAAUAAGCUCCGGCUAACUUCGUGCCAGCAGCCGCAGUAG